Long non-coding RNA from Bos taurus (domestic cattle), 986 nucleotides. The record is from Ensembl. NCBI's taxonomy places the organism in Eukaryota, Metazoa, Chordata, Mammalia, Artiodactyla, Bovidae.
AUCCCAAACAGCCAGGCUGGGAUGGUGAACUAUAAUUUAUAUCAUUUUUCAUAUGGGUUAUAGGCUCCAAAGGCUUAGACUCCUUCAAAUGGGAACCACAUUGAAGAAGGGGUAAACCAAUGUUAAGAAAUCUGGUCCCAGGAAGCCACCUGCUUCUCAUUUGGGAUGUUCCUGGGUUUAUUGUUUGUUUCCAAGGCCCAGCUGGAUUUGAGAGAUGGCAGGGCAGCCAUGGAUCACUGCCCUUGCCAGGCGUCCAUGCUGAGGCUGGGGUGAGCCUCCACUCUGAGUGCUCGGAGCCUCUGGCGUGCCUGCACGUGGAGCUCUGUGGGGGAAGCUGUGUGGGAGCACGCUCUCUUUGUACUCGCAUGUCCCCAUGGAGCAAAGCCAGCUGGAGACAACCGAGUCUGAGCAAAGCCCCACGGCCUGUGGGAGGCCUGGUGCCCCAGGCUGGUUCGGGGGAGCAGGAUCUCUGCGCCUCCCCCAGCCACUGCUUCUUGCAAACUGAGAGGCAGGGCAGCAAACAGCCCAGGAAGCUGGCUGCAGUGAAGAUGAAUGAACCGAAGCUCCUCACGACAACAUGGAUGGAUCUUAAGCACAUGGUGUUGAGUGAAAGAAUACAAAUGAUGGACUCCAUUCAUACAUGGUCCCAAACCAGGAAUCCCAGAGAUCCCCAGCAUGCAAAGCAGAGGGAUUAGAAAUGGCUUGGAUCAUACAAACUGAGGCUUGAAUCUGGUUAACCAGCUGUGUGACUUUUGGUGCCCUGGUGACUAUGAGCCAGGGUGGGACCUCUGGCAUCUGAUGUCUACCCAGGCUCUGUGCUGACACCAGCUUACAGGACACCCCCAGCUCAGUAUGCUUGCCUCUGGAGUUAAUUUCCUUUCUCAAAUCAGAUUAACUUCAAAGUUUUUAUUCAUUCUUUUAAAUUGACUUAAUGAUUCAUUCUUCCUAAUUAACAGAUAUUGGAAAAGAAAAGAAACAGUAUGGUU